This is a long non-coding RNA of Heterocephalus glaber (naked mole-rat), 1122 nucleotides long. Lineage: Eukaryota; Metazoa; Chordata; Mammalia; Rodentia; Bathyergidae. The record is from Ensembl.
GAGACCAUGGGGGCACCAGGCAACAGAGGGCCAGGGCAGUACUGGGCGUAACUCCCUGAAGGUGACUAGGGCCAGAGGCGCCUGUGAUAGUGGUCCUCCUUUGCCAACCUCCACAGCCUUCUCCCUGGCUGCCGCCUCGGCACAGCUGCUCUGCCCCACUCCAACCUCCUCUGCCCAAGACCCAGAGAAAACACACACUGUGAAGGACCUCUUCUCUCAUCGCUAUAUUAAAGCAGUGUUUCAUCACACACAAGGCACAGCAGGGGAACUUCCUCCCUCAGCUAUCAACACAGGCUAUAAAAUGCUCCUGAUGUGACUCAGGCAUGUGAAAUGGCAAACAGGCCAGUGGAGACGGGAGGAGGCACUCCAGAUGGAACCCACCUAACACAGGAACACAACAGACUACAGAGUUGCAGUUCAACCAGUGGACCAAAGCAUGGAUGACUGGGGCUAGUACCCUGGAAGGGAAUGACUGGACUUGGACUUCCUUUCUAACAUCUUUUUUUGUCUUGUGAUGGUAGGAUCGAACCCAGGGCCUUGCACACACUAGGCAAGUGCUCCAUCACUGAGUUACACACCCAGCCCCGCAACAGAGUUUAACCCUUAGUAUGCAAAAGGAUUCUAGACACAUUCAAGAGUUUAAUUCAAACACAGAAAAAAAGAACUCCUGUCAGAAAAUCAUGAGGCAGACCACAUAAUCCAAACACUGGUACCUACGAGCCUUAAGAGAAAAGAAAGAUAAAUACUACCAAACAGAGAAACUGGGACUUCAGUGUUCAAAGAAGCGGGUUGGAGACUGAGGAUCUAUAAGAAACACACAUUCCCUAUAGACAGGUAAGAGAGGGAUGACUGUCCCACAGAAAUGGGGUCAAAGAACACAACAGGCGGUUCACAGAAGGAUCCACAUGCUGGACAGCACAAGGCAAAGACACCACACUCAUCAUGCAUCAUGGAAACCAGCCACUCUAAGCUGUUACUGCCCCCGAGCCCGAUGAGUCAAGAGAGACACCUCAGGCCACUGCUGAGCAGAUGCAGGACGAGGGUCCUCCACCUGGGACCACCUUUUAGAUCUCUCUGGAAACUCAUCUGACAAGAUCUGUCAAAAUAAAGACACACAUGCCC